AGCACAACUAUGCAAGGGUGGUCGCAGCUAGCCAAGGUAUGGUGGGUGUGCCAAGGCAUGGCUAGGUGGCCGCGUGAACACGGCAAUUGGCGAUGCACACCACCUGUUGGGCGAAAUGUGUGGCCCACGGAAGAAGAUGGCCGUGGCCGAGGCAUGGACUCAUCAAGGUGAACGGCGACACCCACAGCCAAAAAGUACGUCGACAAGGCCACCAAGAAGGAGGUCAAGGACAUCUUUCGGCCGCUAUGACCGCACCCUCCUCGUCGCCGACCCCAGGCGCUGCGAGCCCAAGAAGUUUGGUGGGCGCGGAGGGGUCGGGCGAGAUAGGCCAACAAGUGCACUUGAAUGCUGGAUCUAGGCAAAUGCUUCCAUACUAGGAACAAUACUCUAAUGAAACAUCGAGUUGCUCCAGAACAAUAACAAUGCACAAGACGGAAUUUUCUGACCCAAAUCUUAAGCUGGCCAUCAGAUUUUAACUCAGGAGAGCUGCAUGUUAUAUUGAAAAGUAGGAAACGCCCAGAGGGGCGAAGGUAAAAUUUACAAGGCAGAACAAGAAAAACGGAGCUCCAACAGCUGCCAAGUGGGAUUAAUAUGUUUGAUCUUGCUAAUAUUGACAUAGUGUACUGGUCAACUCCAUUGAGGGUGCGGCAAAGCCGCGCUGUGUUUCUAGUAUAUACUUAUUAUCAUUUGAAUGGACAACACACAAUCAGGAGCUAGCACAAGUGCA
Panicum virgatum (switchgrass) is the source of this 727-nucleotide long non-coding RNA. RefSeq lists it as uncharacterized. NCBI's taxonomy places the organism in Eukaryota, Viridiplantae, Streptophyta, Magnoliopsida, Poales, Poaceae. The record is from RefSeq and is a predicted model, not a curated record. The transcript has 4 exons.